Molecule: small RNA, 228 nt
Filed under: Actinomycetota bacterium
Lineage: Bacteria; Bacillati; Actinomycetota
Description: Actinobacteria bacterium c-di-AMP sequence
Rfam family: c-di-AMP riboswitch aptamer (ydaO/yuaA leader)
About the family: This family represents a conserved RNA structure found upstream of the ydaO and yuaA genes in Bacillus subtilis and related genes in other bacteria.
Source: RNAcentral
UCGGGCGGAACGCCGAAUCCUGCCGCCGCCCGAACACCCAUCGAUAACGCUCGGCAGGAGCGGGGGAACCAGGUAAGUCGCCGAAACGGAAUUUCCGGACGUCUUGGACAUGCAAGACGCUUCGGACAGGCCGUACGGCUUGGGGUAAAGCCGCGACCGUCAGGACGCGACCGGGCAGCUCCCGCCCGAACCCGACAGCUCACCUCGCAGGCGCCGGAGAGGAAAUUC